Equus caballus (horse) is the source of this 142-nucleotide non-coding RNA. NCBI's taxonomy places the organism in Eukaryota, Metazoa, Chordata, Mammalia, Perissodactyla, Equidae. The record is from Rfam.
GAUGCGAAGAAGAAUAAAUGUCAUUCUGGUUCAAUGGUAGAGAUCACUGAUAAGACUUCUGUCUUCUUGCCACCAGAUACACUUUAUCUAAACCUAAACAAUUAAAGUGCACAUCAAAGAAGUGUUCUCUUGGCAAGAGAGG